UGAAACACGGACCAAGGAGUCUAGCGUAUGCGCGAGUCAUUGGGUGGUAAACCCAUAGGCGAAAUGAAAGUGAAGGCUCUCGCAAGAGGCCGAUAUGCGAUCCGGGGUCCCGUCGUGGCCACGGAGCAGCAUAGCCCCGUCUUAAUGGCUUGCCAUAGGGCGGAGGAAGAGCGUAUUCGCUGGUACCCGAAAGAUGGUGAACUAUGCCUGAGCAGGAUGAAGCCAGAGGAAACUCUGGUGGAAGUCCGAAGCGCUUCUGACGUGCAAAUCGAUCGUCUGACUUGGGUAUAGGGGCGAAAGACUAAUCGAACCAUCUAGUAGCUGGUUCCCUCCGAAGUUUCCCCCAGGAUAGCUGGAGCUCGUUGUUAACAGUUAUACUCGGUAAAGCGAACGAUUAGAGGACUUGGGGUCAAAAGACCUUAACCUAUUCUCAAACUCUCAAUGGGUAUGAUGCAUUGGUUGCUUGAUUCUUGAACCAUUGCGUUGAAUGUGGGCUCCAAGUGGGCCAUUUUUGGUAAGCA
This 521-nucleotide ribosomal RNA is filed under the name Cervidellus neftasiensis. RNAcentral's name for it is "eukaryotic LSU rRNA". It matches the Rfam family "Eukaryotic large subunit ribosomal RNA", at positions 655 to 1146 of the family's 3401-position model. Lineage: Eukaryota; Metazoa; Nematoda; Chromadorea; Rhabditida; Cephalobidae. The record is from RNAcentral.